Non-coding RNA from Schistosoma margrebowiei, 45 nucleotides. The record is from Rfam. NCBI's taxonomy places the organism in Eukaryota, Metazoa, Platyhelminthes, Trematoda, Strigeidida, Schistosomatidae.
AUCCAAAUGACGAGUCCUAGAUAGGACGAAACGUAUGUUAUGGAU